Salarias fasciatus (jewelled blenny) is the source of this 236-nucleotide long non-coding RNA. RefSeq lists it as uncharacterized. The record is from RefSeq and is a predicted model, not a curated record. NCBI's taxonomy places the organism in Eukaryota, Metazoa, Chordata, Actinopteri, Blenniiformes, Blenniidae. The transcript is spliced from 3 exons.
UGUGGUGUGUGUGUGUGUGUGUGUGUGUGUGUUUGUGUGUGUGUGUGUAAUGCUGCAUGUAUUUGGGGCGUGUAUUUGAGAUUCAUUUGGAAAACAAGUCAACAUUUGGGAUGUUUCAUUCCAUACUAAACAUGCAGAACACAGAACAUUGAACACAGAUACUGAACAGUUAGUUUUAUCCAAAUGCAGGUUCUCAUAUUUUUUUGUCUUAUUUUCAGUUUUUUUUUUCCUUUAUA